This 254-nucleotide ribosomal RNA is filed under the name uncultured bacterium. Its description in RNAcentral is "partial 16S ribosomal RNA". It matches the Rfam family "Bacterial small subunit ribosomal RNA", at positions 524 to 776 of the family's 1533-position model. The record is from RNAcentral.
GACAGAGGGGGCAAGCGUUGUCCGGAUUUAUUGGGCGUAAAGAGCGUGUAGGCGGCCAGGUAGGUCUGGUGUGAAAACUCGAGGCUUAACCUCGAGAUGUCAUCGGAAACCAUUUGGCUAGAGUCCGGAAGAGGAGAGUGGAAUUCCUGGUGUAGCGGUGAAAUGCGCAGAUAUCAGGAAGAACACCAAUGGCGAAAGCAGCUCUCUGGGACGGUACUGACGCUGAGACGCGAAAGCGUGGGGGAGCGAACAGG